Molecule: ribosomal RNA, 484 nt
Filed under: uncultured bacterium
Lineage: Bacteria
Description: partial 16S ribosomal RNA
Rfam family: Bacterial small subunit ribosomal RNA
Source: RNAcentral
AUUGAACGCUGGCGGCAGGCCUAACACAUGCAAGUCGAGCGGAUGAAGGGAGCUUGCUCCUGGAUUCAGCGGCGGACGGGUGAGUAAUGCCUAGGAAUCUGCCUGGUAGUGGGGGAUAACGUCCGGAAACGGGCGCUAAUACCGCGUACGUCCUGAGGGAGAAAGUGGGGGAUCUUCGGACCUCACGCUAUCAGAUGAGCCUAGGUCGGAUUAGCUAGUUGGUGGGGUAAAGGCCUACCAAGGCGACGAUCCGUAACUGGUCUGAGAGGAUGAUCAGUCACACUGGAACUGAGACACGGUCCAGACUCCUACGGGAGGCAGCAGUGGGGAAUAUUGGACAAUGGGCGAAAGCCUGAUCCAGCCAUGCCGCGUGUGUGAAGAAGGUCUUCGGAUUGUAAAGCACUUUAAGUUGGGAAGAAGGGCAGUAAGUUAAUACCUUGCUGUUUUGACGUUACCAACAGAAUAAGCACCGGCUAACUUCGUG